CCUACGGGGUGCAGCAGUGGGGAAUAUUGGGCAAUGGGCGCAAGCCUGCCCCAGCAACGCCGCGUGAAGGAAGAAGGCUUUCGGGUUGUAAACUUCUUUUCUCAGGGACGAAGCAAGUGACGGUACCUGAGGACUAAGCCACGGCUAACUACGUGCCCGCAGCCGCGGUAAUACGUAGGUUGCAAGCGUUAUCCGGAUUUACUGGGUGUAAAGGGCUUGUAGGCGGGACGGCAAGUCAGAUGUGAAAACCACGGGCUCAACCUGUGGCCUGCAUUUGAAACUGUAGUUCUUGAGUACUGGAGAGGCAGACGGAAUUCCUGGUGUAGCGGUGAAAUGCGUAGAUAUUAGGAGGAACACCAGUGGCGAAGGCGGUCUGCUGGACAGCAACUGACGCUGAGGCGCGAAAGCGUGGGGAGCAAACAGGAUUAGAUACCCUGGUAGUC
RNAcentral lists this ribosomal RNA (443 nucleotides) under uncultured bacterium. RNAcentral describes it as "partial 16S ribosomal RNA". It matches the Rfam family "Bacterial small subunit ribosomal RNA", at positions 338 to 795 of the family's 1533-position model. The record is from RNAcentral.